RNAcentral lists this non-coding RNA (24 nucleotides) under Rattus norvegicus (Norway rat). Lineage: Eukaryota; Metazoa; Chordata; Mammalia; Rodentia; Muridae. The record is from RNAcentral.
UGGUGAACAUGAUGUGCCACUAGG